GGUAAAAAGAAAACAAGUUUCAAGAUCAUUAUGAUAAAAAUCAGCAUAGGACAAUGCAAUCACAUGUUAGCAUUAACUAUGUCAAUAAUUUUACAAGCACGGAGACCCCGCCGGAACAAAAGUUCAAGCCACAAAGUGACAAAGGACUUGAUAUCAAAAUUUUUCAGUAAUCAACACAAGAAGACAUAAAUACAACAAAGCUACAUGUGCAGCUAUGUGACAUAUAUUCCCUGCAACAAAAAAAUAUUAUCAGAUAUGUGUAAUAGUUAAUAGAUACGUGUAAAAAUAAUAGAGUGUAUUAGUGUAUGAACAUAUGUAAUCUAGAUAGCAUAAUAAGUUAGAUUAGUCAGCACUUUUGAGGCCUAUUUAAGGCUUUCAACUUGUAUCAGCAAAGGGCAUUAAAAAUCUUACUGACUUUGAAAUCCUCUCUACAAUUCUCACAAUUUUCUCCAUCAUUUUUAUCUCCCAUCUUUCAUGUUCUCUCUCCUUUCCCUUAAUCAAUAAAAAGCUUUUGCUCGGCGAUGGGAACACUCUACGGGUCCGGCUUUACGACACACACAGUCUGAACUAAUCCGACAAAAAAGUAUGGCCUAGCCAAUGUCUGAACCCGGAAUUAUCCGGUAACCCCACUUUAAGGAAUAAAACCAAGAAUAUAAGUGAAAGAAGAAUAGCAACUAUCAAACUCCGAACUUAUCACCCCCCAUGCAACCUAUGUUUCGACGUUGUCCACCCAAGGACAACGUAGAGACUUAGCCGCUCCUACUCAUACCCUUCUCAGUUAACUUGGCUCUAAUAUCAAUGGAGGGGACGGAUUGAGUUUUGGGAUGAAAUCCUAAAAAAUUUGGGCAGAGUAACCAAAGGGAACAAGAAAAAUCAAAUUCUUAAAACAAAACUUUAAAAAAACUUAAAAGGAAGAACAAGAAAACAGUAGUAAAAACUUAAACUUUAUAACAUGAAAACAAAUAAACAAAAAAAUAGUAGACAAAGUAUACUUACAAAAUACUUUUAGUGAUUUAGGGAGUGGAGAGAGAACAUGGAAGAUGGAAAAUAUGGGGGAAAUGUAGGAAGAAUGUAGAGAGGAUUUCAAAGUCGGUAAGAUUUUGAAUACCCCCUACUGAUACAAGUUGAAAGCCUUAAAUAGGCCUUAAAAGUGCUGACUAAUUUAACUUAUUAUGCUAUCUAUUGUACAUGUGUGCAUACACUAAGACAUAUUAUUCUUUUUACAUGUAAGUACUAACUAUUAUGAAUAGUUUAUGACAAUUGUACGUGGCUUGGAAUAUAUGCCACAUAGCCGGAACUACUUACAUGUAGCCUUCACUGCGUGUUUUAUCUUCUUUUGCUGAAAAUAUAUCUCCAAAACAUAGAUCUUGUUAUUUGGUCCUCUAGUCACCUUGUGGCUUUGGACUUUUAUUCUUGCGAGGUCCACCUGUUUGCUUAUUUGUUGACAUAACAAAAGUUAACAUAUGCUUGGCACAUUUUUGCAUUUAUUGAAGAUGAUACAUAUCCUCAUUACUUUUGUCACUGGUGUUAAGGAUGCAGUGUCUAAUAAUUUCAAUAUCUUUUCAUGAUUGGUAGUUUUGCAGAGAUUUGCUAAGGCUUCUUCCAGUCUUGUUUUAAAUUUUUCUUUUGAAAAAUCAAAUUUCCUUCGUGAUGAAGAGCCGACAAUUAACAUGUCAUCGUGAUAUUUCGGUUUUCAUCCUUUAAUUUUGAUACUCUUGCUCAGAUACUUGAUCCUUUCAAUUCAUGAAUAUCAAAGGACCAACUAAUAAUAUAAGAUAUCCUUUUUGAAAUAAAGAACUUACACCAUUUAAUAUUUUCUGGGAGUGUAGAGAUAUUUUGCUCUAGCUGGAACUUUUCAAACUGUAUUAAAAAUUGUGGUGAUAAUACUGUUUAUUUCCUCCAAAUUGGUUUCACAAUUCGAAAAACCAUCGAGGGAUCGUUGCAUUUUUUAUAUCUUCUUAAUAUUUAAUGAAUCAAGUAUAGAUAUUUGGCCAAAGAUACAUAAAAUUAUAUCAAGUUUAUAAUCGUACCAAUUAUACAUCUGGGGACGAUAAGAUGUUGAUAGUGAAAUAGGAGUGUGUAGAUGAUCCACAAACCACUCAAAAGGAGUUAAUAUUCUUUUAAUUGUGAAUUUUGGAAAUUGAAUACUAUCUGGAUCAUUGUUAUCUACUAAUUUAUUCUCAAUCUUCACUGAAUUAGUAUCUGUUAAUAUAAACUCAUAAUACCUUCGGAUUUUUAUUGGAUCCUUAGUUUACACAUAAUUCCGAUUAGUGUAACACGGUUUCAUAAGGUAGGGCACUCCAAAGCAUUCAUAUUCUUUGACAAGCGCCAUGAUUGAAAGUACCUGCAAAACUGUAAUUGAAAAACUCUUUUUAUCUGACUGAGUAACGUUUUUCUUAUUUGUUGUCAGUGUAGUUGGAACAAGCCUCUUAGUAUGUUUCUGGUGGUUUCAUUUUACAAAUAUCAUUUGUUUGGACAAAAAAAUCUGUUGAUGAGGGUUUAUUUAAUGAUGAGGAGUUGAGUUUUGGCAGGUUUUGAAAUUCUGCCAAGGUUGAGUAGCGGUUCUCUAAUUUUUUAUCGCCCUCCUUGAAGGUUUUUUUUUAUUUUAUCUUCUGAUUUGAAGAGCUGUAGUGGGAGCCUCGCGGUCUUAUUCUCGGUACUCCUGGUCUCAUUAUUUCCCCGUAAAAAUUUUCUUGUCAAAAAGUCGGGGAGAAAAUCAUUUUCUCCUUUUAUAAAUUCUAUUUCAAAAUCAAAGCUAAUUAAUAAAGAUUGUCAUUUUGCAA
This is a long non-coding RNA of Solanum pennellii, 2783 nucleotides long. RefSeq lists it as uncharacterized. NCBI's taxonomy places the organism in Eukaryota, Viridiplantae, Streptophyta, Magnoliopsida, Solanales, Solanaceae. The record is from RefSeq and is a predicted model, not a curated record. The transcript is spliced from 2 exons.